AGCAAGAAGACCCCCUGAAUUUAAGCAUAUAAUUAAGGGGAGGAAAAGAAACCAACUCGGAUUCCCCUAGUAAUGGCGAGUGAAGCGGGAAGAGCUCAUGUUGUAAAUCUCCAGCUUGCUGGCGAAUUGUAGUCUAAAGGUGCGUGCUCAGUCGUGGUCCCGGGCUAAGUCUGUUGGAAAACAGCAUCAUGGACGGUGACAAUCCGGUUCUUGCCUGGGGUCCCGCGGCGUACGAGCCGUUUCCGACGAGUCGUGUUGCUUGGGAUUGCAGCACUAAGUGGGUGGUAAAUUCCAUCUAAAGCUAAAUAUUGGUGGGAGACCGAUAGCGAACAAGUACCGUGAGGGAAAGAUGAAAAGACUUUUGAAAAGAGAGUAAAAUAGUACCUGAAACUGCUGAAAGGGAAGCGAUUGAAGUCAGUGUUGCUCCUGGUCUUUUUGCCGUCGCCCCCGUGGGGGUUGCGGCGUGGGGCCUGGAGCGUUUCAACAUGCGUUCUGUUCCGCGGGAAAUGUUCAGUGUGCUGGAACCUUCGGGGAAACGCACUGUUCUUGUCGUGGUUAGGACGGAGGACCUUUGCUCCUUUGACUGCGCGUUCCUCUCUCGGGUAUGCUGGUGUCUACUGCUUGCAGUUUUCAUUUUCAUGCUUGCGACUGUGCGUGUUAUUCAUGAGCGAACAUGAUGUUGAAGAAAUGGCUUUAAUUACCCCGUCUGGAAACACGGAC
This 720-nucleotide ribosomal RNA is filed under the name Schmidingerella taraikaensis. RNAcentral describes it as "partial Eukaryotic large subunit ribosomal RNA". It matches the Rfam family "Eukaryotic large subunit ribosomal RNA", at positions 14 to 666 of the family's 3401-position model. The record is from RNAcentral. Lineage: Eukaryota; Ciliophora; Spirotrichea; Tintinnida; Rhabdonellidae.